UAAUACGUUUAUUGAUGUCAAAGGGAUACGACGCACAUUCGUCAGAAGAUAGUUCUACUUCAGAAAUGUGUGAAAGUAUCGCUGUUUGACAUUUAUAACCAUAUUUAUUUUAAAUGUGUAUACAUAUUAAAUAUCUGUGCAUGGAUCUAAUACUACCUAAUGAUGACAUCUAACUUCUGUGCUGUUCUGUUCCGAUAUUUCCUGCAAUUUAUGUUGAGUGAAUAUAUCACUAGAGAGUUGAAGAGAUGUUUCGAUGAAGUCGGAUUGCAUGGAUCUCCGAAAACCAGAGGUUCCGAAGUAGCUGAUCAUCACUUUGUGUUUCGUAUUCCAUUUACAAAGACAAAAUUGAACUCAGUUCCAAAUCUGAAAACAACAGGACAGCACGUACCACGGCGAUUGGUAUACCAGUUGUGGGGCACAGAAUGAGACAGAAAAAGCCCAGUCAGAGAAUGCGUCCACCAAGAAGAUUCGAUCCAAAGAUCCAAGCACCUCAAGCGAGUGCUCUACCGACUGAACUAGAGCUCGCCCCUGGACAUGCUAAUGAUUAACACACUUGCAGCGUGUUAUGCAUUGAAUCUACUUAGCGCCGAUCGCGAGGGACGGGACCGAUUGUUCUCGGUUAAACCACUCAGCACUGAACAUGAUGGACAUUCAUGCAGUUAAACGAAUACUAUGUGACCAGUACUUACAAAAAUGGAAUAGUGAUAAAUUUGACUCAUCGAAAGGUAUUAACUACAGAAUGUUCAAGCAUGAAUUUAAAUUAGAAAAUUAUUUGUUGAAACUCAACAAAAAAUGCUAGAAUUCUUUGUAAAUUUAGAACUGGAAAUGUCAGACUUCCUAUUGAAACCGGUAGAUGGUUUAAUAUUGAGAGAGAAAACAGAAUAUGUCACUUGUGCAACACUGAUGUUGGUGAUGAGUUUCACUAUAUUUUUAAAUGUACGUCUUUAUCUACUGAUCGAAAUGUGUAUAUACCUAGUUACUAUACCAAUAGAGCAAGUGCAAUUACCUUUUACCAGUUAUUUUCUACAAUUAAAAAAUCACUUUUGUGUAAACUAUGUAAAUAUUUGCAAAUUGUCAUUGAGAGGGUCAGUCUUCCGGGUUAAUAUUACUUAAAUAGUAUGUCCAUUACCAAAACAGAAAACACUUUGUAACUUAUUUUGUUUAUAUUUUCUCCAUACUGCACUCGGUGCAGUUUAUGAGAAUAAAAUUCUUGUCU
This is a long non-coding RNA of Gigantopelta aegis, 1216 nucleotides long. RefSeq lists it as uncharacterized. Lineage: Eukaryota; Metazoa; Mollusca; Gastropoda; Neomphalida; Peltospiridae. The transcript is spliced from 4 exons. The record is from RefSeq and is a predicted model, not a curated record.